UACGGAGGGUCCAAGCGUUAUCCGGAUUUAUUGGGUUUAAAGGGUGCGUAGGCGGAUUUGUAAGUCAGUGGUGAAAUCCUGCAGCUUAACUGUAGAACUGCCAUUGAUACUGCUGGUCUUGAGUAUAGUUGAGGUAGGCGGAAUGAGUAGUGUAGCGGUGAAAUGCUUAGAUAUUACUCAGAACACCGAUUGCGAAGGCAGCUUGCCAAUCUAUUACUGACGCUGAUGCACGAAAGCGUGGGGAUCGAACAGGAUUAGAUACCCUGGUAGUCCACGCCGUAAACGAUGCUCACUCGCUGUUGGCGAUACACAGCCAGCGGCUUAGCGAAAGUUUUAAGUGAGCCACCUGGGGAGUACGAUCGCAAGGUUGAA
RNAcentral lists this ribosomal RNA (372 nucleotides) under uncultured bacterium. RNAcentral's name for it is "bacterial SSU rRNA". It matches the Rfam family "Bacterial small subunit ribosomal RNA", at positions 524 to 898 of the family's 1533-position model. The record is from RNAcentral.